RNAcentral lists this ribosomal RNA (585 nucleotides) under uncultured bacterium. RNAcentral's name for it is "bacterial SSU rRNA". It matches the Rfam family "Bacterial small subunit ribosomal RNA", at positions 338 to 916 of the family's 1533-position model. The record is from RNAcentral.
CCUACGGGAGGCAGCAGUGGGGAAUUUUGGACAAUGGGCGCAAGCCUGAUCCAGCCAUGCCGCGUGCAGGAUGAAGGCCUUCGGGUUGUAAACUGCUUUUGUACGGAACGAAAAGACUCUGGUUAAUACCUGGGGUCCAUGACGGUACCGUAAGAAUAAGCACCGGCUAACUACGUGCCAGCAGCCGCGGUAAUACGUAGGGUGCGAGCGUUAAUCGGAAUUACUGGGCGUAAAGCGUGCGCAGGCGGUUAUAUAAGACAGAUGUGAAAUCCCCGGGCUCAACCUGGGAACUGCAUUUGUGACUGUAUAGCUAGAGUACGGCAGAGGGGGAUGGAAUUCCGCGUGUAGCAGUGAAAUGCGUAGAUAUGCGGAGGAACACCGAUGGCGAAGGCAAUCCCCUGGGCCUGUACUGACGCUCAUGCACGAAAGCGUGGGGAGCAAACAGGAUUAGAUACCCUGGUAGUCCACGCCCUAAACGAUGUCAACUGGUUGUUGGGUCCUCACUGACUCAGUACGAAGCUAACGCGUGAAGUUGACCGCCUGGGGAGUACGGCCGCAAGGUUGAAACGUCGAAAGGAUUGACGG